UGGGUAUCUUCUCUACAUGACCUGGCGAGAAUACGCCUAAAUUGGUCUUCGCUGUCAGAAGAUAACCCGGUUGAAGCUCUUCAAGAUCUCCCAAAUCUGAUGGAGCUGCAGUUGCUUGAUGCAUACACUGGAACCCAGUUGGAGUUUCACAAGGGAAAAUUUCAGAAGCUUAAGAUAUUAGACCUUGUGCAAUUGAAACUGAGGUUUAUCAGAAUGGAAGAUGGAACAUUGCCCUGCCUGCAAAAGCUGAUAAUAAGGAAAUGCAGCGAGCUGGAGCGGGUCCCUGUUGGUAUCGACGACCUCAUUCAUCUCCAAGAGCUGCUCCUCUGCGAUAUGCCUGAGAAAUUCGUGACCCAGCUGAAGAAAAAAGGCGGUGAACUUCGCCAUCUCCUUCACCGUAUUUCACAUAUUGGUUCAUACAAAGAGGGCAAGUUGGUGGAAGAUCUUUCAUGACCGAUGGGUACAAGAAUCUGGUCCGUAUAACAUAAUGGAUUCCUUAAAAUGUAUUGAUGUUGGAUUUCUAUUUCUUUACUAGCAUUCCUGCAUUUUCCUAUAGUUACUAUAUAUGGUGCAAUAGCAUUUGUACGCAGAUCAGCUUUAGUUGUGUGUUCGGAACUCUCAUUGUUGAGAUGAUUUCUGUAAGGUUGAUUGUUUUUUACCUUUUUUUUUUUCCUGUAAAAAGAAAGUUAAUUGUUGAAUGCAUCUAGUUAUAUUUUCUCAAAAGUUUUUAUUAAUUUUGAAUUUUUAGUAUUUUGAAUAACGUAUUAUCAUGAGUGCAAGGGCAUAGAAUAUGACCUCUAGUACCUCAAAAUUAAGAAGAAAUUAAUUCUAGAAAUACCUCAAUCUAAAACACAUAUAACAAAGAAAAGGAGAAGAAUGUGGCAGAGAAGGCAAUCCAGAUGGCACCUAUUUUAGAUAGCCCAAAGAAUGUGGUAGGCAGGGCAACAAGUGCCAACAUUAUGAAGAAUUUUCACCAUUGGAAAACAUUUCAAAAAUCCUAUUAAACAAGGAGGAGAGCUUCCAACAUUUUCAAAUGCCCAAAAACAAUUUUUCGAUUAAAUCAAUUUAGGAAACAAAGGAGCAAAAUGACAUUUGAAUGCCUAGGAAUGUUUGAACAAAAUGUUCUAACAAUCUCUCAUGUGACAAUUUUGUGAUAAAAUAUAAAGAUAUAACAAUUUUCAUGUGACUCGUAAAAGCCUCAUUGAACCCAAAAAUAAAGAUAGGAUUGGGUUAUGACCAAGUAUAAAUGUUUGUCGUGUUGGACUUGGCCCAAAAAUCUUAGACGAGCUUGGCUUGAGUUCUAGAAAUAUUGGCAUCCAUGGUACAAUUUUAUGCAAAUAUUGGAAGAAAUAUUGAUAUUGAUGAAAAUUUGGUAAAAAAAAUAAAAUCAUAAAAAUGGAUUACAUCUAUAUGAUUUUGGAGGAAAGUUUAAUAAAAGAUAAUAUAGUUUAUAAUACAUGUAUUAAACUUGUCACUAUCAAACUUUGACCAGUCAAACUGGUUUGUAUCUGGGAGCUAGGGGGGCUGCACUAGGCCUUUUGGAAAAAGGUCGGAAUGGGUUGCCCACCAUACUUCCAAACCAACCAUUUGGCAUGUCACUUGUUAUAUUAAUUAAUGACCUAUAAUAAAUAUAUUGGUUAAUUAUUCAGGAUAUAGUCAAAUUCCAGGUUUAUUUACUGUAAAAAUACAUUAAAGAUUACAAAUGAUAAAAUAUAAAGUUAAUGAAAUUGUGUACCCCGUAUUUCGGCUCAAUGCGUUUUCCACUCGAAUGGCGAGCUCUCGAUUUUUAUUUUAAAAAAAAUGAUUUAUAUUGAUUAAGAAAAUGACUUGGAGUUGCCACUUAUUUUUGUUUUAUUUUUUGAAGGGUAAACAAAAUAAGAAAGAAAACCUUAAGUGUGACUCCUUAUUUGGAAAAUGUGAUAUGCGAAAAACCGAAUCGGGUUCGGGGGUCAGGUUACUUAUUAGGAAGGUACGGUAAAGACCGUAGCACCCCUCUAAGUCCCUAAAACGGGUCUCUACUAAUAAAAUGAAGCUGAUAUGACAAUUGAUGAGAAAAUAAAUGAAUACUCGAUUUGAUCAUGCACACAUGAGUAUCAGAAUAUACAUAGAGAAUAACCAAAGUGGAAGUGGAUGCGUACCUGAUCAGCAAAUGGCAACGCGCUAUCACAAAUUAGGGUUAGUGCAUAGUAAUGAACAUAAAGUAUAUCACUCAUAUCACCCAACUAGAUAAAGGAGCACCAAUAUCAUGUAUGGUAUUUCAUUCAAUUCCAUUUUUAUUUUAAAGGAAAUUUAUUUGAUGUCGGGCCCCCACCAUAGCCCGUUUAUUUUGCAUGGACUAAUUCCAUAAAUUCCAUCAUUUGGAAUUACAGAAUUUGACUUUUGUUUAUUUCAAAACAAUUUAAAAUGAGAAAUUAUAUGGAAAAUGGGAGUCUUGGGACCUAAAAAUAAAUCUAAGGAUGAAAAUUUGAAAAACAAAAUUGUUUGAAGGAUUUGGAAAUUGGAAAAUUAUUUAAGAAAAUAAGAAUUUAAAAAAUAGUAAUCAUUUGAGAGCUAAGGGUGUGAGAAACCACUUAUGAAAACAGAAUAACGAUGGAGAAGUGGGAACGUCGGCCGGACAGAAUUCCGGAUGUGAGAUAUCCGGAGAAGGUUGAACGUCGGCGGGACAGAAUUCCGGAUGUGAGAUAUCCGGGUGAAAUUUCGGCGGAGAAGAAUUCCGGAUGUGAGAUAUCCGGAGAAGGUGGAACAUCGGCUGGACAGAAUUCCGGAUGUGAGAUAUCCAGGUGGAAUGUCGGCGGGGAAGAAUUCUGGAUGUGAGACAUCCGGAUAAGGCAGAAUGUUGGCCAGACAGAAUUCCGAAUGUGAGACGUCUGGGUGGAAUGAGUGAGAAUUUCUGUCCGGGUGGAAUGAGCGGUGCCACGUAUUGCGAGGGGCUGUCUGCGUGUCUAAGGGAGAAGGAGCCACGCGACAAUUUUUAGGGAGGAUCCCACAUACACAUGGGUAUUGAUGAUGAGUUAAACGAGCAUGAAAGGUGAGAAUAUGGUAGUGAUUAAUUCCCCUUCUUUCCACAAAUUCAAAUACUAGCUUCCUACAUCAUCUUGAGACAUCACCUCCCGGUAUGAGAUGCGCGGGGGUUUACGCAUGAUGAAGAUAAACGGGAAUAGGAGUGGAGUGAUGGAUGGGGGCGUGGACAUGUUGGAUAAAACGAUGAAUAAUAAGCAAGAAUGGGUAUGGGGAUGCUGAUGAGGUGGGUUUUGCUGCCAUGACAACUACUCCAGAUUUCCUAGGAUCUCCUUCAAGCAGGGAUGAGAAAAUGGAUGCGUACCAUGGACGGAUAUCAAGAGUAGAGGAGGAUAACAAAACAGAGCACAAAGAGUAGAUACAAGAAAAUGAGCCCGACAAGCUAUGCUUCAUAUUAUACCCACAGGCUUAGACGAUGGUGAGUAAGAUUAAAUGAGUAUCAGAUGAAAGGUAAAACGUGGUUACAAAAAUAUCUCAUGGAGAAAUCAAAACCAAAGCAAACUAAACCACUACAAAAUCAUUAGCAAAAAUAUGAACGUAUUCACUCCCAAUCAACAAACAUCAUCCGAGAAUCAGUAAAAACAAAGUAGAAAAGCACACCAUUAGAAGCUGAUGAAGAAUACACAAUAAAUGUACCUCAAAAUAACUCUCUCCAGCUAGGUGGGCAAGAAAUCGGACAGCUAUCCUUCCUCUCAAGCAACCAGCCAAGGAAAUCCCCCUUUCCCACUAGUCCUCUCAAGCUAAACUCCCCCCAGCUUCUCUUCUGUUUUCUCCUCCUUUCUUCUUCCUUUUUUCUUUUUAGAAAACCUCCUUUAUUUUUCGGAUUUGCCUUCCCAACGAUCUCUGCUGCAGCUACCUUUUCUACCCCACCUCUUCUGCAGCCACCUUUUCUGUCCCAAUUCUUCUGCAGCCGCCUAACGGCCUGCGGGACUCCCCUCCAGAAAGUUUCUCCACGUGUCAAAGUCCUACCGCAGCUUCAAAAAGCGAGGUUGAUUCCUUAUGGCCACUAAGGAUGUGACACGUGGCCCGCUGGGAUAGUGACACCUGGCUAAAAAUGUGACCUGCAAAAACAAAUAGAGAAAAAGUGACCCAUACCUAAACAUAUUAAUACACAUUUAAUCUAUCUAUGUUAUAUAUAAAAGUCUAUAGACUCAUAGGUGUUUGUAUUCUUUUAUGUUCUUAAACUGCAUCUUUCAUAUUAACAAAGUUUAAUUUUUCUUGUCUGAGGGAUUUAAGAAUUAUAUUUAGUAUUUUUGCAGUCAAUGAAUGUGUCACCACAUGUAUUGAACUUUUGCUCAAAUUCAUCAAAUGGAACUUCAAAAACCAACAACUUGUUUAUGCGAAACCAAAAGAUUGAAUAUUUCCUGGGUGGAUUUUUGGGAACUGAUCACACACACACAAGAAAUCUCCAUCAAGCUAGCUGUAUUCUCAGUGAAUAUUUCCUAGGUGGAUUUAAGAGUGCUUGUGGUCAUUCAAUAAGGUUAAUAAAUUGUCUGGAGGAAGCAGUAAAAUGAUCCUCUAAGUGUGAUCAUAUACAGCGGUGUGCUUGGAAAUAUUCAAAGUCUUCCCAAUGGGGAUCUUGAUUUAUAUGUAAUGCUAGUGUUCACAAUAUUUAUCACAUUGACUGCUGAAUUCUUUUGGAAGUAUACAUGGAUGUGGCAUUCAUGAGUAGUUAAAAUCAGUGUUUUCAGGGGGCCUACGCCAAGCUUCCAAGCAACAGCAAUGUGGAGAAGACAGCGUCCAAGUCUCUAUUAAUUAAAUUCAUGCGACACUUGUAUUCAGCAUGACGUCUACAAAGGAGGAAAAAACCCUGUGAACCUGUGACAUGAAAAUAUUCAUUAAUUUUGCUAGAUAACUAGACUAAUUACCUUCAACUUUUGAGAGAAGACUUUGCUGGGUUACUUGAAUUGAUUCUCAAGAACACUGAGGUUGAGUUAUUCCCAUUCUGUAUCUGCAAGUUGAGAAGAUCCGUCCCUAACAAUCCAAUCACCGAGGUCUUCAUUUGCCACCUUACAGAUUUUAUGUGCUCUUAUCUUUGAACAUGGCAGCCCCCAGGUGAUUAUCAUUUAUCUACACACAGAAAUUCUAAGACAUUUCUGUGUGAUCGCUGUAUGAUUAGAUUGGUCUGAAGAGUCAAUAGAAAUUGUUAAUGGUGGGCACGUUGUUAUUGCAGGUGGAUUUCCAAGCAUUUGACUUGGUCUGUACGAAUAAUAAACUCAAUUCUCACAUAGAGUCAUUGCAAAGAGUAGAAGACUACUGCAUUUGAAUUUUGAAAGAAAUUGAAGAGGAAGAGCACGAACCCAGGUCUAGCUGAGGGAUGGCAGAUGGGGCUGUGUCGUUUCUUCUUCAAAAUCUUGAAGCUUUUGCAACUAGAGAAUGGAACUUGCAGGAACAUAUCAGGAAUGGAGUCCAUAACUUAAAAAGGGAACUGCGGAGCAUAGAGGCCCUGAUGAGGGAUGCUGAUGCAAAGAAAGAGCAUGAUCACCAAUUCAAAGUGUGGAUUCAAGAAGUUCGCACAGAAGCUUAUGCCAUUGAGGAUGUUCUUGACCUAUUCAGACUCCACCGGGAUCAAGAAUCAGUGUGGAGCCACUUGAAAAUGCGGCACUCCAUUGGCAACCUGAUACAGGAUAUUAACACAAGGCUCGUGAUCAUUAAGCAGACAAAGGAGAGGUAUCAGAUCAUGGUCUCCACUUCAAUUAGCGCUGAAACCAACGCAUACCUUAAUGUGAGAGUAGCUCCUUUGAUCAUCGGCAGGGGCGAUAACAUCCUGGGCAUCGAUGAGCCUAAAAGGAAGCUGGUUUCUUGGGCAUUGGAGUCGAAUCAGAAACUCAAGGUUAUGUUCGUGGUGGGGAUGGCUGGACUGGGGAAGACAACGCUCGCCCGCAGCGUGUACGAGAUGGUGAAGGAGCACUUUGAUUGCCAUGCCUGGAUCAUUGCUUCAAAGUCCAAAACCAAACCUGAAACUUUACGGAGCUUGUUGGAGCACCUUGGCUGUUCGACAGAGGGGUCCAACAUAGUUAUUCUGAUGCAUAGACUGCAAAAUUUUCUCCAGCCCAAACGGUAUGUUAUAGUUGUUGACGAUUUAUGGGUAAAAGAUGUGUGGGAAUCCAUUAGACUUGCCUUGCCAGAUGGUAACAACAAUAGAAUAAUUAUCACUACAAGAAGAGGCGAUAUAGCUAAUUCUUGUAGAGAUGAUGAUUCUAUUGAUAUCCACAAGGUUCAGCCACUGUCACCGCAAUGGGCUGAGCAACUCUUCUAUAAGAAAGCUUUCUCAAGAAAUGGCAGAUGUCCUUCAGGCUUGGAGGAAGUCUCCAAAUCCAUCUUACAGAAAUGUGAUGGAUUACCACUUGGGAUUAUUGAAAUCGGUAAGCUGUUGUGGGGUAAGCGUCAAAGUACAUACGAGUGGAAAAAAUUAGAUGAUAGCCUUGAGUCUGAAUUGAGAAGCGGUGGUGGCCUUUCAGAUAUAAUGAGAGUGCUUUCUGCAAGUUACAAUGAUUUACCUUACCAUCUCAAGUAUUGCUUCUUAUACAUGAGUAUUUUUCCUGAGAAUAAUCCAGUUAAGCGAAGAAGACUGAUUCGGCUAUGGAUAGCUGAGGGAUUUGUAACAGAGGAGAGAGGCAAGACUCUUGAAGAGGUGGGGGAAGAGUACCUGAAUGAGCUUAUUGGUAGGAGUCUCAUAAAGGCAAAUGAAAUGGACUUUGAUGAAAGACCAAUAACUGUUGGAGUCCAUAGUCUCAUGCAUAGGAUAAUUCUCUCGGUUUCACAAGUGGAGAACUUUUGUACUGUUUGUGCAGGACCAGAAGGAAACUUGGCUGACAAACCCCGACGCCUAUCCAUCCAGACGGGAAACUUUGAUGUGUCUCAGGACUUAACCUGUGUUCGAACUUUUUUCAGUUUCAGUACAGGUAGGGUAAACAUUGGUUCGAAUUUCAAACUAUUGAAGGUUUUGGACAUACAAAGCACUCCUUUGGAAAACUUUCCAAGUGCCAUUACAGAUCUUCUGCUCUUGAGGUACUUGAGUUUGAGGAAUACAAAUAUAAGGAGCAUCCCCAAAUCCCUCAGGAACCUACGGCACCUUGAGACCUUGGAUCUUAAGCAAACUCUGGUAAAAGAGCUACCCAAAGCAGUCCUACAACUUGAUAAACUUCGCCACUUGCUGGUUUAUGCCUACAAUAUGGGAAGUGUUGUAGAGUUUGAUGCCGUUCAAGGGUUCACUGUACCGAGAAAGAUCGGAGCAAUGAAGAAUCUGCAAAAGCUAUCAUUUGUAAAGGCGAAAAGGCAUAACAGAAUGAUACAGGAGCUCAAAAAUCUGACAAAGCUGAGGAAGCUGGGCAUUGUAGAACUAGCAAAAGAAGAUGGCAAUAGCUUGUGCCACUCAAUUGAGAAGAUGCCGGAUCUCCUUUCCUUGGAUGUUACCUCCCUUAGUAAGGGGGAGCCUUUGGAGCUUGAUGCAAUGACCAAUCCCCCGCGUCUUCUUCAACGCCUGUAUCUCAAAGGGCACUUGCAAAGGUUUCCAAAGUGGGUAUCUUCUCUACAUGACCUGGUGAGAAUACGCCUAAAAUGGUCCUUAUUGUCACAAGACAACCCAAUUGAAGCUCUUCAAGAUCUUCCAAACUUGAUGGAGCUGCAGUUACUUGAUGCAUACACUGGAACCCAGUUGGACUUCAACUCGGGAAAAUUUCAGAAGCUUAAGAUAUUAGACCUUGAGCAAUUGAAACAGCUGAGGUUUAUCAUAAUGGAAGAUGACACAUUGCCUUGCCUACAAAAGCUGAUCAUAAGGCAAUGCAAUGAGCUGGAACAUGUCCCCGUAGGCAUUGACGGGCUUCAUCAUCUCAAUGAGCUGCACCUCUGCGAUAUGCCUGAGAAAUUCGUGGCACUGCUGAAGAAAAGAGGCGGUGAACUUCGCCAUUUGCUUCACCGUAUUUUGCGUAUUCUCUCAUAUCAACAGGGCCAGUUGGUGGAAGAUCUUUCAUGACCAUAAAUGCUACAUCUGUGACAUGCACCAGUGGAACAAGAAUCAAGGUUUGUAUAACUACAUGGAUUCAUCGCUUGCUUCUUUUGGAUUCCUCAAAAUGCAUUGUCGUCAAUUCCUUUACUAGCAAUAUUACUGCAUGUUCCUAGGAAAUCAUGGUGGGAUAUCUAGCAUUUAUACAUAUCAAACAUCGAAUAUCUGUGGAGUCAUAUUUGAAACUGCCAUUGUUGAAACUACGCCGAGACUCGGUACAAGACAGUCGGAUUAUGGUUAGGUGUCAAGCCCCUGAGCCUUCCAAUUGAUUUUUAUUAUUCUUGUAUUGAUAAUAGUAUGAAGUUAGAAUCAAUUUUAUUAUAUUUCGCUUAAAACGUCGGAAUCAGUUUCACAUUAAGCUUGUAGGAUAGCGAACAAAUUGAAUAUCAAUUUACUAUAAAAAUCUUCUCUUUUUUUUUUUCAAUUUUUUUAUUUAUUUUAUACUUGUGUCUGGUUUGGUUAACAAAUAAUGACAUUAUGCCCACUUGUGAAUUUUUAAUAUUAUGUUUUUAUGAUUAUUUUAGAUGAUAUUAAAUAUAAUAGUGAUUUGCUUUAAUUGUUGGUUUGUUGAAUGCAUUCUUAUCCAAUUGUUUUUAUUUAUUUUCUCUAAAAUUUUUAUUACUUUAAAAUUGUUCUAUACUUUUUAAUUAAUUAAGCAGUUUAUUCUGCAUAUAGUCUGGUUUAAUCGAAUAAAAUACGAUGACGAAGUCCUCUAAGAAUCUUCUAUAAAAGUCAACUCUGCCCAAUCAAUUCUUUCACAGGGGAACAAUGGUUUAUUAAUGUGCAACUAGCGUUUUUAUAAAUAAAAUAUUCUUAAUUUCCUCUAAAUAUCAGAUUAGUGUUAGACAAAACCAAUAAUAAUAUUUUUAUUGGGAUUUUUCAAUGGCAUUAUAAAGUCACCAAUCAAUUAAUAAAAAAUGGUCAUUGAAGUCACCGUGAUUUAUUGAUUUAUUUAUUUUUACCUGGACAAUGAUCUUAAUUAUUGUUUUUUCUGUAUUAUUUAAGUAUCAAGUUUUUAACAAAAGAAACCCAAGGUUAUGGAUGGGCAUUUCUCAAUACUAGAGGUACUAGUUUUUUUAGGGAAAAAUAGGUAUAAAAAAAAUUUAAUAUUUGCUAAAUUUUGGAAAAGUUGAAUAAUAUUGAGAUUAGUACCUUGAAAAGUUAAAAUUAUUCAAACACAAAAUAAAGAAUAAAAAGUAUAUUAAUAAUUUGUUUAGUAAAUUUUAACAUUUCUUUUACUUGAAAUUUUUUUAAAAAAAAAUUCUAUAUAGGGCAUAUAAUUAGGAUUAGGUUUAUUAAUAAAUGAAAUGUUUUUCUUAGCUGACAAUGCAAUCAUGUUGACCCAUAAAUUUGCAUUAGAUUUAUGAGAAAACUUUGAAUUUCUUUAUUUUCUUUUACAUGGCACAAAGGUUUAUAUAGAUUGUCUUGAAGUAGCAGUAAAGUGAUCCUUUAAGUACCACAAAUACUUGUGAUUUGGAAAUAAUCAAAGUCUUCCCAAUUGGGACGACCCUAGGUUCCAAUACAUUAGCAUUGAUUUCUUUGAGUUGUAUAUGAUGCUUCUUUUCAUGUUAUUUACGACAUUGACUACUAGAAUCUCUUGCAGAUGCAAGUGGCAUUCAUUAAAAGUUAAGACCACUGCUUUCAAGGGUCCUAUGUCCAGCUUCCGAGCAACAACAAUACGAGAAUGGGAAUGGUAAUGGGGUGGAAUUUUCUUGAUGGGACAAAUUUGGGAUAAAUAUGAAUGAGUUCAACCAACAAAUUUGAGAUUUUUUGUUUUUUUUUUGAACCCAAAGUGGGUUUGGGUAUGAUGUUGUCCCAUCCCAUAUGUAAUAUUAAAUAAAAAUGAUUUUAAUACAUUUUUGACUUUUUUUAACAUAUAUCAAAUAUUUUUUUUUAUAAAGAUAAAUUAUACAUAUUUAUAAUAUUUAUUUAUUUGUAAAUUAUAUUUAUUUUUAAUACAAUUUAAAAGUAAAAAAAUUAAGAAAAAAUAAAAAAUAGACAGACAAGGUGAAUAUGAGAAUUUUCCUACAUCUGUUCUACCUAUUUAUUUAUUUUUUUCAUGAAAAUGAGAAUAAAUAUAAAUAAAUUGGACGAUAUUAAAAUAUGGGUGACCAUCUCAAACUUGCCCGUUACCAACCAUAACCGAGAAGAUUGGGUCAAUGUGGAUUUUUAAGCUCCUUUUUUGGUUUGGGUUUGCAAAAAAAGACCCAACCAUUUAUUCGUUUGGCCAUAUGAAGUUGAUGAAUGCAACACCUUAACUCGGAACAUGACAUCCAUCAAACUUAGGCAAUCUCUCGCGUAAAUUUUAAGAAAUCACAAUAACUAGGAAUUUUCAACUAUGAAAUUUCCAAAAGAUAGCAUCAUUUUACAUUGUUCUAAGGCCAGUGCCAAAGGGUUCAUGUAGAAUUUUCAAAAUGUUUUUGUCCUGAGAAAAUACAUUUUGGAUAUGUUUCGUACCCAGUAAAUUCCAGGAUGCACAUAAUGGAAAUAAAAUUGAAAAAAAGAAAAAAAAAAGUAAAGAAAAAUAAAAUAUAGAUUUAAGAUCAAUAAAUUAUGUUAUAUAUUUCUUCAAACUAAUUUCACUUAUUUUCCUUAUUAUCUAAAGAUUAAAUAAUUUUAAAAUACAUAAAUCUUUUAUUAACUUUCAUUAUAUUUGAUUUUUUUUUAUAUUUUUUAUAAUAAAAUUAAACAUGAGAAAAUUAGUUUUAUUAACAUUUUUUUUUCUUUUACUUUCCUAGAACCGAACAUAGUACUAAGAAGCUAUAGCUAGAAAUGCCAUGAUACCAUUUUCUUGAAAACUUCCAUAUAAUUAAUAUGUACAUGUAGAUUACCUACAAUUUUCAAAUAGACAAGUACUUGUGUGUUUCAGUUUCCAAAACUUUUAUUAGGAACUCAACUUAAGACUUUACUGAAUUCAUGGGAUUGUCAGAUUUAGUAUAGGAAGAAAUUUUCCAUUGUUGACUAUAAUCUAUAUAUGGUGACCAUGUGACAUUAAUAUAUUUAUUUAGAUAUAUAAAAAAAUAUUUGAUUAAAAGACUUAAAAUACUCUUUGUAAAACCAAGGUUUGGUUAAUCUUGAUUUUGAUGAUAAAAAUAAAAAAUAAAAUUAGAAUUCAUGAUUAUAUUUCAACUGUCACUAGACAAGAUGAUUUCUAGAGUGACAAUCACAAAAAUAAAAUUAAGUCAAAGAGAAAUCAAUAAAAAGAAGAAAACCUCAAAAAGAAAUGUUUUUCAAGACCUAAGCUCCAUAGGAUAUCUUUGUAAGGUUGUUGGUGCACCAAGUUUUUCAUGCAUUACAUUCUUUACUUAUGCACCAAAAUCAUUUAAGAAUUAUUUUGUUUUAAAUAUUUUAAAAUAAGAUGAUUUCAUGUUUUCAACUAAAACUUUGUGUCAAAUACUUUCCAAACUUGUUUAAAAUAGUUUUAAGUUAAAAAGAUGGUUAUUGAACCAAAAACGACUCAAUUGGUUGAGAAAUUUGCUCAAUCGGUUGAACAUAUUGAGGAACCAAUCAACCUGUUCAACUUAACUGGUUGAAGGGUGUAAAAAAACUCUUUCUCUUCCAGAACACUUAUUCGAUCGAUCGAUCGAGGUUGGACCUCAUCCGAUUGACCAAUUCAGCUCAAUCAGUUGAAAGGUGUAAAAAUCUUCUUUCUAUUCCAAAAUACUUCUUUGACUAGUUGAGGUUGGACUUCAUCUGGUCAAGUACUAGUUGAGGAGCGGUUGAGGUUCAACAGUCACCUGUCAUGCAUUAAAUGUUAAUGGCUAGUGAACCAGUCGAAUUGGAGCUCGAUCGGAUGAACUCGCAAUGACUAGUUAGACUUAUCUCCUCUAUAAAAAGGUUCCAAUCUUUAUUGUUUCAAGAGUUUAAUCUUCGUAACCCUUUCUUGAAUAUAUUUGAGCAUUGAAAGUGUGUUUUUUAGUGCACCAUUGUUCUAAAACUUGCAAUCAUUAAUGCACCAGUCAAUCCUAAUUUAUCUUGUAUCAUUUGAACCUAAAGUUUUGUACUAGAUUUUGUGAGAUUAUUUCUUAUCUUCAUUUGUAAAUCUUUGAGAGAAAUAAUCUAAGUGUGAGGUAUCAUUUAGGGAUAUUUAAGUGUGGGGUAUCACUUAGAAAUUCUUAAGUUUGGGGUAUUAUUUGAGGGAUUGUUCAAAAGUGAUCUAUCUCUUAAGGAUUUUAAAGGAUGAACCUAAAGUUCUGUACUAUAUUUUGUGAGAUUAUUUCUUAUCUUUAUUUGUAAAUCUUUGAGAGGAAAAAUCUAAGUGUGAGGUAUCAUUCAGGGAUAUUUAAGUGUGGGGUAUCACUUAGAGAUUCUUAAGUGUGAGAUAUCACUUAAGGGGUUGUUCAAAAGUGAUGCAUCUCUUAAGGAUUGUAAAGGAUGCUUAGAGCCAAAAGUUCAAGAGGGUGAAUUGGAACCAUAAUCCAAUUAUAUUGCUUGAAUGCUUGGUUUGAAAGCCUUGAAUUAGUAGAAUUUCAAACUUGUGAUUGAAACUGGAGGAGAGUGGACAGAGGCUAGGUUGCGUUGAACCAUUAUAAAAAUCUUGUAUUUGCAUUCUCUCUUAUAUUCUCUUUUAAUUUAUAUGCAAUUGUUUUUAUAUUAUUUAUUAUAUAAAUUACAUAUAAUUAUCUCUUAAAUUUACAUAAUUUAAAUUUACAAAAAGAGACCAUCACCCUAUUCACCAUUUUUAGAGUGGUUACCUUAGGUUGGAUUAACUUUUUUUUUUUUUUUAAUACUUUUGAAAUUGGAAAAAUGACGUUCUUUACUCAUUCCUUGAAAAAUAAAAAAAUGAUUCAUUUUGGAUGUUAUUCUUCUUUUUUAUUUUCUUAAAAAUGCCAUUUUCUUCUAUUUCCUAAUUUAUUUAUUUAGUUUUCACAUUUAGGAUACCAAGCUCUCUUUCUCCCUCUAAGUUUAUGCUUUCCAAUUUUUCAUUGAAUUUUUUUAGUGAAGUUCAAAUCCUUAACAAAGAUUAAUGGAUAAUGAUCGGUUGUAGUCCUCUCAUCUUUCUUUUUUCUUCAAGAUUCUUUAUAUUUUCCAUUUUCUCUUUAUUUCUUGUUGGAAUUUUUUAUUAGAGGGUUUUUUUUGAAAUUGUUAUUUUUAAAAUUUUUUGUAGUUGUUUUUUUGCAGGUUUUUUUUUCUUUUUGGUUAACGGUUUUUUGUUGAGGGUUUUUUAUUAGGGCUUCUUACAAUUUCAUUUACACUUCUACAUUGUUUUUGCUUAGGGUUUCUUGGUAGUUAUUUUCUAUUGAAAUUUUGGUUGGGGUCCGUUGCCAUUGUUUUUCAUUAGAGUUUUUUUUAUAGUUGUUUUAUCGAGUUUUAUUUUUUAUUUAUUUUUUUGCAUUUUCACUAAGUCUUAUAAUAAUACCCUCUAUUUUGUCCUUUUGGCACAUGAUACUCAAGUUAGCCAUCAUUCAUCCUUUAUUACUUGUUUGUGCACUUCACGGUCUUUUUUCAAGCUAUUUUUGAGCUCUCAUUGAUGGUCUACUGUGACUAUGUUUAUCACUAGUUUUUUGUAUUUUCUAUAAGAAACAUUUUGGAGGGAUUAGGUGGACCUUAACCUUGAUUUUAGUGACCAUUAAUUCUUAGUUUGUGAUUUUGUUUUUGGUUAAUUUAUAAUAUAUUUAGGCUUUUUUAAAACCUUUAAUGUCACUAGAUAAAUUCAUAAUUUGGAUUGACUAAUAAUAGAUUUCAUUUUUAAAAAAAAAUGUAUAAUGAAGGUCAACAUUGAAUUAAGAAAAAGUUUUUAUUUAUUUAUGAAUUUGAUUUAAUUUGAUCUAAUUAUUUUUGUUUGCAUUUUUUAUUUUUUAUUUUUAUAAAUUAUAGAACUUUAGAUAUCAAUCGUGAUUAUGAAAUAGGUAAAUUGAAAAUUGAUAUAUUAUGGCCACUGAACAUAGGCCCUAAGAUUUUUCAUGCUAUAAUAAUAUUUCUUUUAAUAUCUCAUAAAUCGUAAAUUAAAAUGAAAAUAAAAUUAAGAUUGGAGUUUAUUGAAGACAUCAAAUUCAUGCUUUAAAAUAUAUAUUAAAAUGGGUCGUUUCUUUUAAUAAUAAUCAUACUAAAACAUUUUUUUUUUUUUUUUGCUUUAAUGUCUUACAAGCCACCAACGGCCAACCAGCUGUACCCAACCUUACCAACCGUGAGCCUAGCCUUUUUCAACCUAUAAAACCUAGCCCUUUGUAGCAUUGGGCCAAAAUGACCCAUGUAUUAAAAAAAAAAAAUUAGAUGUAACCAUUUUAUGAAAUUUAUAUUCAAACUAACAUCUUUGAUGCCACGAGGACUCAUGUCAUAAAAAUAUUUUUUUUUUCAAAAUUUUAAUUAAAACCUCAAUUGGUAAUUGAGGUUUCAUUUUUGAACUGAAGUCGCAAUUACUAACUGAGACUUCAGUUAUUGAACUAAAGUCACAAUUGUCAAUUGAGGUUUUAGUUAAAAAAUAAAGUUUCAAUUGACAAUUGAACUAAAGCCUCAAUUGACAACUAAAACUUCAUUUUUUUUAACUAAAACCUCAAUUGUCAACUAAGCCUUAGUUAAUUUUUUUUAACUUUAAAAUUUAGUUAAAAAUUAUUAAAUUAUAGUUUAUUAUUAAAAUUAGAAAUAUAUAUUUUAAUAAUAAAUUAUUUAUAUUUAAGCUUAAAAAUCUAAUAUUACUUCAACAAAUAUAAAUUGAUAGAUAAAAGAUAUUAUAAAUGAAUAUUUUAUUUAUUAAUAAAUUAAUAAUAUUAAAAUAAUAAAUUUAUAUAACAUAUAAAUAAGAUAUAAAAUUGUAUAAUUUAUUAAUUUAAGAUUUUUUUUUAAAGAUAUUAAUGUAUUUGUAUUAUGUUAAAUUUAUCCAUAUGUUCUCUCAUUAUGAAAGCAUAUGAGGUCAUAUAUGUUUUUUUUUUUUCAGCAUAUAAAUGUUUAAUGGGUAUUUUUUGUGACUUUGAUAAAACAACUAAAAAUUAUAUUUUGUAGUAGACUUUUUUUAACUAAUUUUGUCAAAAAAUCUAUAUAUAAAAAUUUAAGAGUAUACUGUUAUUUCAAUAAAGAUAAAUUUCUUAUAAUACAAAUAAAUCAAUGUCUUAAAAAACAACAAAUUAAAUAUCUUAAAUUAAUAAAUUAUAAAAUUUUAUAUCUUAUUUGUAUGUCAUAUAAUUUUAUUAUUUUAAAAUUAUUAAUUUAUUGAUAAAUAAAAUAUUUAUUUAUUGUAUUAUAUUUAUCAAUUUAUGUUUAUUGAAGUAAUACUAGAUUUUUAAGUUUAAAUAUAAAUAAUUUAUUAUUAAAUUAUAUAUUUUUAAUUUCAAUAAUAAGUUAUAAUUUAAUAGUUUUUAAUUAAAUUUAAAAGUUAAAAAAAAAUAUUAACUGAAGCCUCAAUUGGCAAAUACACCUUAGAAGUAUACUAUUAUUUAGAUAAAAAUAAAUUUGUCAUAAUACAAAUAAAUUAAUAUCUUAAAAAAUAACAAAUUAAAUAUCUUAAAUUAAUAAAUUAUACAAUUUUAUACCUUAUUUAUAUGUUAUAUAUAUAAAUUUAUUAUUUUAAAAUUAUUAAUAAAUAAAAUAUUCAUUUAUAAUAUCUUCUAUUUAUUAAUUUAUGUUUGUUGAAGUAAUAUUAGAUUCUUAAGUUUAAAUAUAAAUAAUUUAUUAUUAAAUUAUAGAUUUUUAAUUUCAAUAAUAAAUUAUAAUUUAGUAGUUUUUAAUUAAAUUUAAAGUAAAAAAAAAAUUAAAUGAAACCUGAAUUGGUAAUUGAAGUUUUAGUUCAAAAAUGAAGUUUCAGUUACCAAUUGAGAUUUCAGUUAAAAAUAAAGUUUCAAAUUGCGGUUUUAGUUCAAAAACUAAAGCCUCAAUUGAUAAUUACGGUUUUAGUUUAAAAAAGAAAUCUCCUCAAUUAUCAAUCUAGGUUUUUAUUAAAAGUUAAAAAAUAUAUAUAUUUAUAUGACAUGAAACUAAAGAUGCUAGUUCGAAUAUAAGCUGGAUAAAGUGGUUAGAUGUAAUAUAUUUUUUUUAAUAAAUGGGACAUUUUGACCCAAAACUCUUGAGCUGCAACCAGCCAUACCAAAGACACCCUGCACUAGCCGUCCGUAAUCCUCUACUGCAGCUUCGUUUUAGCUGCCCGAGGCGUCUCAAAUCAGCCCCAUCAAGUUGUCCACUCUCCCUGCUAUGAGCUUGGAAAUAAUCCAAGUCUUCCCAACCGGGAAGACUCUAGCUAGCUUCCAAUACGAAGACUCUAGCUAGCUUCCAAUACAUCAAUACUGAUUUUCUUGAGCUGCAUGUGAUGGUUCUUUUCAUAUUAUUAAUUAACGCCAUUGACUGGUCAUCUUCCCUGACAAUUCAUCAGUUAAAAUCACUGGUUUCAAGGGUACACCCAGCCACCAAUGCAAUAGCAAUACGGAGAAGACUGGGUCCAUGUGAGUAAUUGAUAGGCUUUUUUUUUUUUUUUGGUUUUGGUACGCAGAAAAAGAGGAGUUUUGGGUCAAAAUGCCGUAUAUUAAAAAAAAAAAAUAUUACAUCUAAUUAUUUUAUGAAACUUAUGUUCAAAUGCUUUGUAGGAAUCAUGUCAUAAAUUUUUUUUUUUUUAAAUUUUAGUAAAAGUCUCAAUUAAUAAUUAGGGUUUCAAUUUUGAAUUGAAAUUGUAAUUGUCAGUUGAGGCUUUGGUUUUUGAACUAAAGCUAUAGUUGUUAACUGAGACUUCAUUUUUUAACUGAAACCUCACUUGACAAAUACUUUAUUUUUAAACUAAAGCCUUAAUUGACAAUUAAGACUUUUUAUUUUAUUUUAAAAUUUAGGUAAAAGCUAUUAAAUUAUAGUUUAUUAUUGAAAUUAGAAAUAUAUAUUUUAAUAAUAAAUUAUUUAUAUUUAAGCUUAAGAAUCUAGCAUUAUUUUAAUAAACAUAAAUUGAUAGAUAGAAGAUAUUAUAAAUGAAUAUUUUAUUUAUUAAUAAAUUAAUAAUAUUAAAAUAAUAAAUUUAUAUAACAUAUAAAUAAGAUAUAAAAUUGUAUAAUUUAUUAAUUUAAGAUAUUAAUUUGUUGUUUUUUUAAAGAUAUUAAUUUAUUUGUAUUAUGUCAAAUUUAUUCAUAGGUUCUCUCCUUGUGGAGGCAUAUUAUGUUAUAUAUGUUUUUUUUUUAGCAUAUAAAUGUUUAGUGAAUAUUUUUUAUGACUUUGAAAAAACUACUAAAAAUCAUAUUUUUUAGUAGACUUUUUCUAACUAAUUUUGUCAAAAAGUCUAUAUAUAGAAACUUAAGAGUAUACUAUUAUUUCAAUAAAGAUAAAUUUUUCAUAAUACAAAUAAAUUAUUAUCUUAAAAAACAACAAAUUAAAUAUCUUAAAUUAAUAAAUUUUAAAAUUUUAUAUCUUAUUUGUAUGUCAUAUAAAUUUAUCAUUUUAAGAUUAUUAAUUUAUUGGUAAAUAAAAUAUUCAUUUAUUGUAUUGUAUUUAUCAAUUUAUGUUUAUUGAAAUAAUACUAGAUUUUUAAGUUUAAAUAUAAAUAAUUUAUUAUUAAAAUAUAUAUUUUUAAUUUCAAUAAUAAGUUGUAAUUUAAUAGUUUUUAAUUAAAUUUGAAAGUAAAAAAAAAGCCUCAGUUAACAACUACGGCUUAGGAGUAUACUAUUAUUUCGAUAAAGAUAAAUUUAUCAUAAUACAAAUAAAUUAAUACCUUAAAAAAUAACAAAUUAAAUAUCUUAAAUUAAUAAAUUAUAUAAUUUUAUAUAUUAUUUAUGUGUUAUAUAAAUUUAUUAUUUUAAAAUUAUUAAUUUAUUAAUAAAUAAAAUAUUUAUUUAUAAUAUCUUUUAUUUAUCAAUUUAUGUUUGUUGAAGUAAUACUAGAUUCUUAAGUUUAAAUAUAAAUAAUUUAUUAUUAAAGCAUAGAUUUUUAAUUUCAAUAAUAAAUUAUAAAUUAAUAGUUUUUAAUUAAAUUUUAAAAAAAAAAAAUUGAAGCCUCAGUUGAUAAUUGAGACUUUAAUUCAAAAAUAAAGGCUUCAGUUAAAAAAUAAAGUCUCAAUUGAUUAUUUCGAUUUUAGUUUAAAAACUAAACCUCAAUUGAUAUUUACGGUUUUAAUUUAAAAAUGAAACAUCAGUUACUAAUUGAGACUUUCAUUAAAAUUUUGAAAAAAAAUAUAAUUCUAUGAUACUACUUCUACGUGACAUCAAAAAAGUUGUUUGAAAAUAAAGUGGUUAAAUCUAUUUUAUUUUUUAUCCUGGGCCAUUUUGACCCAAAACUCGAAAAAGAGAGUCGGCAAUUUAUUUGUAUGGCCCACACGAAAUUGAUGAAUCCAUCGCCUUAGAAAUAUGACAUCCAUCAAACUCAGGCAAUCUCCACCGCAUGAAUUUUAAAAGCCACAGCAAUUGGGGAUAUUCUACCGUGGAAGAUGGCAUCAUUUUACAUUCUACUGAGGCCAAUAUCUAUGCUUCGUGGUUCUCUGGAACCAAUCAUGUAUUGCCUUGAACCCUUGAGAGAGAACAUGUGAUAUGCCCACGUCUUUUUAUUUACGCACAUUCCUACUACUUUUCUUUGUUUUUAUUGUAUAAGGUUGGAGGGUGGUCUAUGUAUUGACUCGGUAUGUAUGCUUGACUACAAACUCGAUGGUAGUUCAUAUGAGUGGAUCCUAAUAUUGUUGCAGCAAUUUGCCGAUUUCAGAGAAAAGAGAGAGAGAGAUAAUGGUCGACCCAGAAAUAACUGGAGGGAUUGCAGCGAGUACUUUGAGCUUUCUUCUAGUAAAACUCGAUGCUUUUGCAAUUAGAGAAUGGAAAUUGCAGGAAAAUAUCAAAAAGUCUGUCCAAAAUUUAGGAUGCGAGCUGAGGAACAUUCAGGCCAUGCUGAGAGAUGCUGAUUCAAAGGAAGAGCAUAGUCACCAAUUUACGGUCUGGAUUAAAGAGGUCCGCGAUCAAGCUUAUGCAAUCGAGGAUGCUCUUGACCUGUUCAAACUCAAACAAGAAUCAGUGUGGCGCCGCCUGAAACUGCGUCACUCCAUCAACGACUUGAUACAGGAUAUUGAGCGGAGUCUCCAAAACAUUCAGCGGACAAAGGAGAGGUAUCGCAGCAUGGCCUCCUAUUCAACCAAUGCUGGCAACAACACAUACCUUCAUGUGAGAGUGGCUCCUUUGUUCAUAGGUAACGUUGAUACCGUGGGCAUUGAGGAGCCUACAAAUAAGCUGGUUUCCUGGGCCUUGGAACCGAAACAGAGGCUUGAGGUGAUGUUUGUGGUGGGGAUGGCUGGACUGGGGAAGACCACUCUUGUCCACAGCGUGUAUGAGAGCGUGAAACAGAACUUUGAUUGCCAUAUCUGGAUCACUGCUUCAAAGUCCAAAACCAAACUCGAUAUCUUACGGACCUUGUUGGUGGAGAAAUUCGGCUGUACAAUCACACAGGGGGGCGAUGUGGUUGCUCUGACGCAUAAGCUGAGAAAAUUUCUCCACAACAAACGGUAUGUCAUAGUUCUUGAUGACUUAUGGGUAAAAGAUGUUUGGGAGUCCAUUAGACUUGCCUUGCCAAAUGGUAAGGACAGUAGAAUAAUUAUCACUACAAGGAGAGGCGAUAUAGCUAAUUCUUGGAGAGAUGAUGAUUCUGUUGAUAUCCACAUGCUUCAGCCACUGUCACCGGAAAGGGCUGAGAAACUCUUCUAUAAGAAAGCUUUCUCAAGAAAUGGCAGAUGUCCUUCAGGCUUGGAGGAAGUCUCGAAAUCCAUCUUACAGAAAUGUGAUGGAUUACCACUUGGGAUUAUUGAAAUCGGUAGACUUUUAUCCAUCAAGGCUCCAACUAAAAAUGAGUGGAAAAUAUUACAUGAUAGCCUUGAGUCUGAAUUGAGAGGCAGUGGUGGCCUUUCAAAUAUUACGAAAGUGCUGUCUGCAAGUUAUAAUGAUUUACCUUUCCAUCUCAAGUAUUGUUUCUUGUACAUGAGCAUCUUUCCUGAGACUAGCCCAGUUAAGCGAAGAAGGCUAAUUCGGCUAUGGAUAGCUGAAGGGUUUGUAAUAGAGAAAGGAGGCAAGACAUCUGAAGAGGUUGGGGAAGAGUAUCUGAAUGAGCUGAUUGACAGGAGUCUGAUAAAGGUAAAUGAAAUGGAUUUUGAAGGAAGGCCAAAAAGUGUGGGAGUUCAUAGUCUGAUGCUGAAGAUGAUUCUCUCAGGUGGUGUUUGUUUUUUUGGCUUUUUGCUGAAAACCAUUUAGUUUUAGAAUUUAGGUUGUUUGUUUUUUUACUUUUUCAUGACUUAUUAUAAACUUUUUACUAAAUAGAAAAAGCUAAAAUAUGUGGCUUUUUCUAAAUAGAAAAAAUAACACAAUGAUUUUUUUUACUUUUUAAUACUUAAUAGAAAUAAAAUACUACAAAAACAAACAACCUAAUAUUUAAGACUAUUAAGUAUUAAGGUUCUAUUUAGAAUUAAGUAAAAAAACAAACACCACCUCAGUCUCACGAGAGGAGAACUUUUGUUCUGUUUGUACAGGAUCAGAAAGGAACUUGAGUGAGAAAACCCGGCGCCUAUCUAUUCAGAAGGAAGAUUUUGAUGUGUCUCAGGACUUACCCUGUGUUCGAACCUUCUUCAGUUUCGGUAUAGGCAAAGUAAAGAUUGGUUCCAACUUCAAACUAUUGAAGGUCUUGGACAUACAGGGCACUCCUUUGGAAGAAUUUCCGGGUGUAAUUAAAGAUCUUCUGCUCUUGAGGUACUUGAGUUUGAGGAAUACAAAUAUAAGGAGCAUUCCAGGGACCCUGGGUGACCUUCAUCACCUUGAGACCUUGGAUCUUAAGCAGACUCUGGUAACAAAAGUACCCAAAGCAGUCCUACAACUUGAGAAACUUCGCCAUUUGCUGGUUUAUCGCUACAAUAUGGAAAGUGCCCUACCUUUUGAUAUUGUGCAGGGGUUCAAGGCACCAAAGAGGAUCGGCGCAUUGAAGAACCUACAAAAGCUGUCAUUUGUAAAGGUGAGUGGGCAGCACAGAAUGAGUCGGGAGCACAGAAUGAUACAAGGGCUCGACAAUCUUACGCAGUUGAGGAAGCUGGGCAUUGUAGAACUAGCAAAAGAACGUGGGGCGAGCUUGUGCCUCUCAAUUGAAAAGAUGCCAAAUCUCCACUCCUUGAAUGUAACCUCUCUUAAUAAGGAGGAGCCUCUGGAGCUUGAUGCAAUGACCAAUCCACCGCCCCUUCUUCAACGCUUGUACCUCAAAGGGCCCUUGAAUAGGUUUCCACAGUGGGCAACUUCUCUACAUGACCUGGAGAGAAUACGCCUAAAAUGGUCUUCACUCACAGAAAACCCGAUUGCAGCUCUUCAAAACCUCCCAAAUCUGACAGAGUUGCAGUUGCUUGAUGCAUAUACUGGAACCCAGUUGGACUUCAACUCCGGAAAAUUUCCGAAGCUGAAGAUAUUAGACCUUCAGCAAUUGGAACAGGUGAGGUCUAUCAUGAUGGAAGAAGGCACAUUGCCUUGCCUACAGAAGCUGAUCAUAAGCCACUGCAGCAGGCUGGUGCAGGUCCCUAGAGGUAUUGACAAGCUCAUUCACCUCCAAAUGCUGCU
This 21483-nucleotide long non-coding RNA is filed under the name Vitis vinifera (wine grape). RNAcentral describes it as "long non-coding RNA (VVIN_LNC000011)". Lineage: Eukaryota; Viridiplantae; Streptophyta; Magnoliopsida; Vitales; Vitaceae. The record is from RNAcentral.